AAAGGUGUAACAAAAUAUAUAUUUGUACAUAAAAAUGUCCAGCUUCUAAAUUCUUUUCCUCUCAUUCUCAAUCAUCACUCUUCUCACAAACAUACUUAAACAAAUGAACAUCAAAAACUUGCACAUGUACCAAAUCUUGAAUGAAUUAGGCAUUGUACUAUAAAUCUUCUACAAUCACGAUAGUACCACAAAAAUCUUCCAAAGAUCAAUCAAAAAUCUGUAAAUAGAUCAUUGAUGAGCUGCCUUCAAUCAUUUUUAUGCCUUCUUCACCACUAAAAAUCUCAAACCUUCCCUCUCUCUCGUGUAUUCGAUGACACAGGUGGCUGCCGCCACCACCACAUCCCCACACUCAAUCUUUCCCAUUCGAUGUUGCCUCCUUCUCUGUCAAACAAUCAAAAUCCAAAUACCUCAAUGAUUUCUAUCAAUCAAUUAAACAAAAAAAAAAAAAAAAAAAAAAAAAAGAAGGAACCUGUGAAGCUGCCGGCCAUGGCGCCCUCCUCCUCCUUCUCUGUCUUCCAUCGUCGUCUAGCACCACCUAAACACCCCGGUUAAUGGUUUCCGAUCGGCAGCAAGCUAAUCACCAAACACCACUCCACCAUUGACGGUUGAUGUUGUUGUUCCGUUGACUUCUGCGGUCGGCGACAAGAAAGGAGCACGAGGACUCGCCGGAGACUGAUCGCUGCUACAAUUCGUCGCCGGAGAAACCCACACCCUUCCUCACUCGUUCUUCCUGUCGAUCAAACAACUUAAAACAAACCCCCACCAAAUGUUGUUCCAGUUCCGAUCCACACCUCCAUCUUCCCUUUGUGUUACCUGCCAAAAUCAGAAGAGAAAAGGCGACGAGUAACAGCCGGAGCCGCCUCUCGCCACCAUUGCUGUCGACUACAGCCUCUCCCGUCGACCUUGCUGCCGUUUUCUUGGCUCACUGCCGGCGGAGAUUAAAGCAAUCCAAAUGAGGCUCUCCGGAGAUCGAUUCCUCCUCCCCACCUAUUAGCCAUCGCCGGAGAUUGGACCCUUCUCGUGGUUCCGUUUGUUCGUCGCUCCCUCUGUUCCUAUACUCGAUUUGACGAACAAAUGAAGAAGAUGAGGCGUCAAAUCCCUUGUACCCC
RNAcentral lists this long non-coding RNA (1109 nucleotides) under Lactuca sativa (garden lettuce). RNAcentral describes it as "long non-coding RNA (LSAT_LNC002811)". The record is from RNAcentral. Lineage: Eukaryota; Viridiplantae; Streptophyta; Magnoliopsida; Asterales; Asteraceae.